GCACCACAAGAACGCGUGGAGCAUGUGGCUUAAUUUGACUCAACGCGGGAAAUCUUACCGGGUCCGGACACACUGAGGAUUGACAGGCAAUAUCUCAUGGUUAUUAACCCGGUUAUUACAUUUUGUUUAAUCGGUUAUUAAGCAUCGAGUGUUAAAUAUGCUAGUCCUUUCAUGAUUAUGUGAUAGGUGGUGCAUGGCCGUUCUUAGUUCGUGGAGUGAUCUGUCUGCUUAAUUGCGUUUCACUAAGGGCCCAUAAAUUCAAGGUAUGUUAGCUAUCGUCGCUCUAUGGACCCCUUAUACUCGAUUUCGCUUUAAUUAGCGUUAUUUGUUUAAUAAGCGCGCGUCUUUAUUUAAUGAGUUUAAGACACUGCGCAUGCUGUUGGGCUCUGAAAGCAACGAGCGUGACCGCAACGUCUUGUUGCCUUAAUAAAGUUGGCUUUAAAUACAAUUCCUCGAAUUCGUAUUUAAACCGCUUACAGAGGCUAUUUAAAACUAGACGGACCGCUGUUUCUUUUCUUAAACCAGAGGAAGGUUGCGGCAAUAACAGGUCUGUGAUGC
RNAcentral lists this ribosomal RNA (558 nucleotides) under Neogloboquadrina pachyderma. Its description in RNAcentral is "bacterial SSU rRNA". It matches the Rfam family "Eukaryotic small subunit ribosomal RNA", at positions 1164 to 1470 of the family's 1831-position model. Lineage: Eukaryota; Foraminifera; Rotaliida; Globorotaliidae. The record is from RNAcentral.